Molecule: non-coding RNA, 72 nt
Organism: Prototheca wickerhamii
Lineage: Eukaryota; Viridiplantae; Chlorophyta; Trebouxiophyceae; Chlorellales; Chlorellaceae
Source: the annotation of a GenBank genome assembly
UGGGGUGUAGCCAAGCGGUAAGGCACUAGUUUUUGGAUCUAGCAUUCAAAGGUUCGAAUCCUUUCACUCCAG